CUCGCCCUUUCCAACAUGUGAAAACACAGCAGGAAGUUGGCAGUCUGCAAACCGGAAGAGGGCUUUCAGAGAACCUGACCAUGCCUGUGCCAUGACCUUGGACUUCCAGCCUCUAGAGCUGGGAGCAGUGCAGAAAGCAGGAGUUGAAACGUCCAUCAGAAAAUUCCUCACUCUACUAGGACAGUCCCCGGCCCCCAGGAUCCCUGACCCCGCGUGACACUUCCAGCUGCGGGAAGAAUUUCUGUC
Molecule: long non-coding RNA, 246 nt
Filed under: Mustela putorius furo (domestic ferret)
Lineage: Eukaryota; Metazoa; Chordata; Mammalia; Carnivora; Mustelidae
Description: lncRNA (ENSMPUG00000026939.1)
Source: RNAcentral